Molecule: ribosomal RNA, 252 nt
Filed under: uncultured bacterium
Lineage: Bacteria
Description: partial 16S ribosomal RNA
Rfam family: Bacterial small subunit ribosomal RNA
Source: RNAcentral
UACGUAGGGGGCAAGCGUUGUCCGGAAUUAUUGGGCGUAAAGCGCGCGCAGGCGGCUGUUUAAGUUUGGUGUUUAAGCCUGGGGCUCAACCCCGGAUCGCACUGAAAACUGGACGGCUUGAGUGUAGGAGAGGAGAGUGGAAUUCCACGUGUAGCGGUGAAAUGCGUAGAGAUGUGGAGGAACCCCAGUGGCGAAGGCGACUUUCUGGCCUAUAACUGAGGCUGAGGCGCGAAAGCGUGGGGAGCAAACAGG